Molecule: ribosomal RNA, 497 nt
Filed under: uncultured bacterium
Lineage: Bacteria
Description: partial 16S ribosomal RNA
Rfam family: Bacterial small subunit ribosomal RNA
Source: RNAcentral
GAUGAACGCUGGCGGCGUGCCUAAUACAUGCAAGUCGAGCGAACAGAUGAGGAGCUUGCUCCUCUGACGUUAGCGGCGGACGGGUGAGUAACACGUGGAUAACCUACCUAUAAGACUGGGAUAACUUCGGGAAACCGGAGCUAAUACCGGAUAAUAUAUUGAACCGCAUGGUUCAAUAGUGAAAUACGGUUUUGCUGUCACUUAUAGAUGGAUCCGCGCCGCAUUAGCUAGUUGGUAAGGUAACGGCUUACCAAGGCAACGAUGCGUAGCCGACCUGAGAGAGUGAUCGGCCACACUGGAACUGAGACGCGGUCCAGACUCCUACGGGAGGCAGCAGUAGGGAAUCUUCCGCAAUGGGCGAAAGCCUGACGGAGCAACGGCGCGUGAGUGAUGAAGGUCUUCGGAUCGUAAAACUCUGUUAUUAGGGAAGAACAAAUGUGUAAGUAACUAUGCACGUCUUGACGGUACCUAAUCAGAAAGCCACGGCUAACUACGUG